This 138-nucleotide small RNA is filed under the name Microbispora sp. ATCC PTA-5024. RNAcentral's name for it is "c-di-AMP riboswitch aptamer (ydaO/yuaA leader)". It matches the Rfam family "c-di-AMP riboswitch aptamer (ydaO/yuaA leader)". From Rfam's summary of the family: This family represents a conserved RNA structure found upstream of the ydaO and yuaA genes in Bacillus subtilis and related genes in other bacteria. The ydaO/yuaA element is thought to act as a genetic "off" switch for the ydaO and yuaA genes in its native state. Lineage: Bacteria; Bacillati; Actinomycetota; Actinomycetes; Streptosporangiales; Streptosporangiaceae. RNAcentral also lists the same sequence under 1 other name. The record is from Rfam by way of RNAcentral.
AGCGCGCGGCCGCCGAAUCCGCGUCUCGCGGAGCCGGGGACCCACCUCUUCCGGGGUGAAUCGGAGCGCGACCGCGCCCCGUAGGGCACUUCCUGCCCGAACCCGUCAGCUAACCCGGUAGGCGGCAUGGAAGAAGGA